This 442-nucleotide ribosomal RNA is filed under the name uncultured bacterium. Its description in RNAcentral is "partial 16S ribosomal RNA". It matches the Rfam family "Bacterial small subunit ribosomal RNA", at positions 338 to 795 of the family's 1533-position model. The record is from RNAcentral.
CCUACGGGUGGCAGCAGUGGGGAAUAUUGGGCAAUGGGCGCAAGCCUGACCCAGCAACGCCGCGUGAAGGAAGAAGGCUUUCGGGUUGUAAACUUCUUUUCUCAGGGACGAAGCAAGUGACGGUACCUGAAGAAAAAGCAUCGCCUAACUCCGUGCCAGCAGCCGCGGUAAUACGGAGGAUGCGAGCGUUAUCCGGAUUUAUUGGGUUUAAAGGGUGCGUAGGCGUAAUGCCAAGUCAGCGGGAAAAUCGCGGGGCUCAACCUCGCACCGCCGUUGAAACUGGCGUUCUUGAGUGGGCGAGAGGUAUGCGGAAUGCGUGGUGUAGCGGUGAAAUGCAUAGAUAUCACGCAGAACUCCGAUUGCGAAGGCAGCAUACCGGCGCCCAACUGACGCUGAGGCACGAAAGCGUGGGUAUCGAACAGGAUUAGAUACCCUAGUAGUC